Lepus europaeus (European hare) is the source of this 2837-nucleotide long non-coding RNA. RefSeq lists it as uncharacterized. Lineage: Eukaryota; Metazoa; Chordata; Mammalia; Lagomorpha; Leporidae. The transcript is spliced from 3 exons. The record is from RefSeq and is a predicted model, not a curated record.
GCGGCGUGCGGGCGGCCGCCGCUCCCCUCCUGAUUUUACUUUUUUUCAAGCAAUUAAGGAGGCAUUUUGAUGAGACGUCCCGGUCGUGGUCAGCGCCGCGGGCACCCACCGGGGGGCACUUUUGUCCCCAGCGUCUUGGCCGGGCCGGGCCGCGCCCCGCCUUAGCGCGCCUCCCUCCCCCGGGCAUCGUCGCUUCGCUGGGUCCGCCCCGGCCGGCCCAGGGCCUCACCCCGCGGCCUAGCCCCGGCCGGCCCCGCGCCAGCAGUGUGCCCCUGGUGCCGCUGUGGGGGCCCUCUCGGCGCGUUCCCCGCUCCCCCCAUCACUUAGGUCGGCCAGCUCUGUCCGGGACGGGCCGCUGCUGACUUCAGCACCAGAGCAAACAGUUUCCGGACCAGGUUUAGCUUGGGUUGCUCUUGUGAAACGCGGCCGCGAGCCCGAGUUAUCUGAACGCUCGCGUGCUGCGUGGACUGCCUUGUAACUUCUAACUUCCUGGUUUAAACAUGUGCAAAAGCAAAGUAGAGCUGAAAAUCGGGGCUCGACACGUGGGGCGGGAGUCCAGUCCGCAUGCGUAAUACCCUGUGUGCCUCUCCUCCCCCAAGUCCGAGUGCCGCUUGGUUUUUCCCGGUCUCCCGGCGGUCACAUUUGGCGCGUUGGCCCUUUGAGCCAUGGGCUCCGGGUCCAGACGCGGCCGCGGUGACCACAGCCGGCUGGGAGGCCAGGCGCCACCCCCUAGGCUUUGAGGGCGGAAGAGUCCGCCCUACGGCGGUGGCGAAGGUGGCCGCUGCCGCCCACGCGGGCUCACGGAGACCCGGGACAUCAGAGCAGAGGAACAUCGCCAGGCCUUCCUUCAACACCCGUAAGGCUGCCAUGUAGACAGCCCCCACCCUCGGCCUCCCAGAUGUGACCAGGACCUUCAACAUUUCUGUACACGGGAAAGGUUUGACCCUACACGCCACCUCGACAUCGAACCCCACCUGUCCAGGGACCCCGACAGCCAACCACAAAAGCCAGCCCCUCCAGAGGACCCGCCCACCGACACCCUGCUCUGUCCAUACACCAGAGGCUGGUCAGUCUACACACAUGGAAGCUUGAGGACUGCAGCCCUGCUCCAGGCGCAAACCCGAGGGCUGCUGGUCAACACCCGGCGGAAGCCUGGAGAACUCAACAAGGGACACCUGGGACCAGGGUCCCACUGUCGCCCUGCUCUGUUAGUACUAACAGUAGUAUUGACCUUGCUGUUGUCCAGAUUCGGCCAAGGCAGCCCCAGAGAUGUGGGGCAGGCCACAAAGAGUUGCUGUAGCCAUGUCCUGCGUGGGAACGCUGAGUCCAUUAGGAGGCGUCUUUGGUUUCUUACAAUAGAGUGCAGAGUCAGGUUACUCUCCAGGCACGUGGGCUUUGAGCUGUUCCCCUACAACGUGAUAAACCCCAUUGCCUCAGCCACCUGGUCUCAGGGUUAAGCAUCCAUUAGCCUCACUUUCAAUGGGUGUGAACUAGACCUCGCCAAAGAUAGCAGCCCCCACUGCUCCUACUGGGGGGGGGGGGGGCCUGAUACCAGUUACCGCCUGGCUGACAGCUACCUCUGCGGUGGGCCCACCCCCGCUCAGGCCAAUACAUGCACCCCAUAUUGCACAGCCGGGUGGGGUUGCGAGUCCUGGGUUGUUAAGGCCCUCAGUACUCGUGGGUUCCUGCGUUGAACCCCAGAACCUCGGCCCGACACCCCUAUUUCCUUGUGGUGGAAUGGCGGGAGGCCAGCAGAACAAAUGUGUCAAUCUCACCCUCACUGUCCUCCGGCCCAGCCUGACCUGUGGGCCUCUGGAGUCACCCGCCAGUUGGGCCAGCACCACCCCAGGCCUAAUAAGAACCCCGUGGUUCUUUUCAGAGUGAAAUCGCGAUUCCUCCUGCAUGUUGUGGUCCAGGACAUGAAGUUGCAGGCCACCCAUGAGGGGCCCAGUAACCAGAGAGAGACCACGGCUCAGCUCAGACUCCCAAGUGGUUAACUUUACCCAUGCCGCCCUAAACCAGCCCAAGCCAACCUGGGGUAGGGACUGCUGGGCCUGCAUGGCCCCAGGACCCUCACGGUACCUCGGGUUAGCUGUCAGUUUAUCCACAGCGGUCUCCUCGGGACAGGGCUCCACCGACAGGAUCCUGACUGCCCAGGUCCCUAUCUUUGGUAAGUCCCCUAUUCUAUCCAGGUCUACCAGGGUCAUCCCCAGCCGCACUGCCCUGGCCUCCUUGCACAGUCUUUCCUGUGCCUUGCCAGCUAGUUAGGCUCCUGUCCGAGCUCUCUCUGACCCCAGGGUCUCAGGCCCCCUCCUAUCCACAUGGACCUAAAUGCAUUCCGGUUACUACAAUUCCCCUGGUCUUGGGGCUUCCGGCCGCUGCCAAGGCUGCUGAGGGGGCUGCCAGCACGGGGCUGUCCCAGGCUCAACACUAGUCUCUGAGGGAACAGAUCACCACCGACUCCGCCCCCACCCCCCACCCCCGGCCCCAAGACAGAUUCCUUGGCCGCCGUGGUUCUGCAGACCCGCUGCCCACGGGGGCCUCUGCCUAAGAAUGCCGUUUCCAUUGCGGAGACUAGAACAACCUCAGGCCAGGCGGGAGGCUGUCCCCACCUUCCUGAGUUCCCCGGUAGACCGACUCCCCUGGACAUCACCUUUCCCCGGAGUAGGGCUAGCUUAGGUUGCUCUUGCAAAACGCAGCUGCGCGCCUAAGAGUUCUGCAGGAACUGCCUUGUUAACUAACUUCCUGGUUUGAAAUGUACAAAUGCAAAGGAGACCGAAACGUCGGGGUCGACGCCCGUCAAGUCCGCAUACGCAAUAAACUGUGCCUUUCCUCUC